This 232-nucleotide ribosomal RNA is filed under the name uncultured bacterium. RNAcentral's name for it is "partial 16S ribosomal RNA". It matches the Rfam family "Bacterial small subunit ribosomal RNA", at positions 118 to 347 of the family's 1533-position model. The record is from RNAcentral.
UGAGCAAUCUGCCCUUCUCAUCGGAAUAAGCGUUGGAAACGACGUCUAAUGCCGAAUACGACCUCCUUUCGCAUGAUCGGAGGUGGAAAGCUCCGGCGGAGAAGGAUGAGCUCGCGGCCUAUCAGCUAGUUGGUGUGGGUAAUGGCCCACCAAGGCGACGACGGGUAGCCGGCCUGAGAGGGUGUCCGGCCACACUGGGACUGAGACACGGCCCAGACUCCUACGGGAGCAG